This 932-nucleotide long non-coding RNA is filed under the name Homo sapiens (human). RNAcentral describes it as "non-protein coding lnc-FERMT1-3:1". The record is from RNAcentral. Lineage: Eukaryota; Metazoa; Chordata; Mammalia; Primates; Hominidae.
GUUUUGACUUGAAACAAUAUUGAAGCACAAAGUAGAAAACAUAGGUUUUGUAUCUACAAGGAAUCCAAGUAAUUCUGGAUACCUUAGGGGAAAAUUUUAGUCAAAGCAUUAAAGGAAAAGAGUCAAGUUGAUUGUUGAGCGUUCUUCUAAUAAAACAUUGCUUCAUGUGUUUUCAUCACAUAGAUGGGGCUCUGGCAAUUGAAUUUAUAUAUGAACACAAAAUGUGACAUGCACACCAAAGACAAUUAUAAAACUUAUAAGCAUGUAGGACAGACACAAUUGCUUUUAACUGUCUAUAAAAAGUAAAGGUGUGUCCCUUUCUAGAAAAGGUUUGUAGCUCACGAUGUCAUUCAAAUAGUUCCUCCCCUGGCAAGCUAACAAAAACUAUGUUUUCAGCUGAAUGAGCUAGAAUUCCUUGUUCACUCACUGGUAGCCAUGUGGAUGCUACAAGUAACAUCUACAUUGCCUCCAAUUCACUUUGUCAAAGGAGAAGGAGGCCUGUCUUUAUCUGGAAAGAUACCAUAUCAUCCUAAAUACUUUCUAAAAAUGCACUGGUUUGCCCAUCCCUGAAUGAAGAUGUAUCCACUCAAAAAUAUCCAUUGCUACUUCCUUUAGUCAGCCUCCAGGUUGGAAGCUGAGUGGCUCUAUUUUUUAAAAAAAAAUCAAUCCAAAAUAAAUAAAAGAAUGUAAAAUGUUAAUCAGAAGUAAACAAAGGGAUAGAAUAAAGGAGCCAGGCACUACUAGUAACUUUUAUUGCUUUUGUUGGGAGCCUAGUGAGGGAAUUUUAGAUGAAAUUCCCCCUUCAGCCUCCAGGAAAUAGUGACUUUGUUCAAGUAAAGCAGUUUCCCUUCCCUGUGGCCCUGUGUGGUCCACUGUGAUUCAGACCUGGCCUGUUUUCAGCCUGCUAGAAGAGUGUCAGAAUAGGUGUGACC